This 27-nucleotide non-coding RNA is filed under the name Bombyx mori (domestic silkworm). Lineage: Eukaryota; Metazoa; Arthropoda; Insecta; Lepidoptera; Bombycidae. The record is from RNAcentral.
UGAUUUGAGAAAUGCAAGGUUUUUAUC